AGUGAACGCUGGCGGUAGGCCUAACACAUGCAAGUCGAACGGCAGCACAGUAAGAGCUUGCUCUUACGGGUGGCGAGUGGCGGACGGGUGAGGCAUACAUCGGAAUCUACUUGUUCGUGGGGGAUAACGUAGGGAAACUUACGCUAAUACCGCAUACGACCUACGGGUGAAAGCAGGGGAUCUUCGGACCUUGCGCGAUUGAAUGAGCCGAUGUCGGAUUAGCUAGUUGGCGGGGUAAAGGCCCACCAAGGCGACGAUCCGUAGCUGGUCUGAGAGGAUGAUCAGCCACACUGGAACUGAGACACGGUCCAGACUCCUACGGGAGGCAGCAGUGGGGAAUAUUGGACAAUGGGCGAAAGCCUGAUCCAGCCAUACCGCGUGGGUGAAGAAGGCCUUCGGGUUGUAAAGCCCUUUUGUUGGGAAAGAAAAGCAGCAGGUUAAUACCCCGCUGUUCUGACGGUACCCAAAGAAUAAGCACCGGCUAACUUCGUG
This 492-nucleotide ribosomal RNA is filed under the name uncultured bacterium. RNAcentral's name for it is "partial 16S ribosomal RNA". It matches the Rfam family "Bacterial small subunit ribosomal RNA", at positions 29 to 507 of the family's 1533-position model. The record is from RNAcentral.